CGGGCCCUACGGGGGGCAGCAGUGGGGAAUAUUGCACAAUGGGGGGAACCCUGAUGCAGCGACGCCGCGUGGGUGAAGGAGCACCUCGGUGCGUAAAGCCCUAUCGGCAGGGAAGAAAAGCGAACAGGUUCGCCUGGACGGUACCUGACUAAGAAGCCCCGGCUAACUACGUGCCAGCAGCCGCGGUAAUACGUAGGGGGCAAGCGUUAUCCGGAUUCACUGGGGGUAAAGGGAGCGUAGACGGCGACGCAAGUCUGGAGGGAAAGCCCGGGGCCCCACCCCGGGCCUGCUCUGGGAACUGCGGC
This 305-nucleotide ribosomal RNA is filed under the name uncultured bacterium. RNAcentral's name for it is "bacterial SSU rRNA". It matches the Rfam family "Bacterial small subunit ribosomal RNA", at positions 333 to 639 of the family's 1533-position model. The record is from RNAcentral.